Molecule: long non-coding RNA, 285 nt
Organism: Rhipicephalus sanguineus (brown dog tick)
Lineage: Eukaryota; Metazoa; Arthropoda; Arachnida; Ixodida; Ixodidae
Exons: 2
Source: RefSeq, a predicted model, not a curated record
UUUCUCUGUGCAGGUGGCGCCAUUUGUGGAGAAGCAUGCCCUUGCGCUGGGUCCCCAUGGUCGGGCAGCUCGGGUCUUGCUGCGCCUCCUCGAGGACAAACCGAGCCAGGAUAUUGAGCGUCGCCUGCUGCAGGUGUACCACUUGCUAGGAUGGGAGCACUGUAGUCGACAUCUGGAGCGCAGCUUGCUGGUCCGCUACCCGCCAUCCUACAGACUCUUCUGAACUCCUCUCCCUUUUUCUGUUGUCUCGUGGCACAUUCAAGCGAAUUAAAAAUGAUGAAAGAA